CCCGGGCCUUGUACACACCGCCCGUCACGUCAUGAAAGUCGGUAACACCCGAAGCCGGUGGCCCAACCCUUGUGGAGGGAGCUGUCGAAGGUGGGACUGGCGAUUAGGACG
RNAcentral lists this ribosomal RNA (111 nucleotides) under uncultured bacterium. RNAcentral's name for it is "partial 16S ribosomal RNA". It matches the Rfam family "Bacterial small subunit ribosomal RNA", at positions 1373 to 1482 of the family's 1533-position model. The record is from RNAcentral.